RNAcentral lists this ribosomal RNA (1404 nucleotides) under uncultured bacterium. RNAcentral describes it as "16S ribosomal RNA". It matches the Rfam family "Bacterial small subunit ribosomal RNA". The record is from RNAcentral.
UAGAGUUUGAUCCUGGCUCAGGAUGAACGCUAGCUACAGGCUUAACACAUGCAAGUCGAGGGGCAUCAUGGCGGUCGCUUGCGACCGCUGAUGGCGACCGGCGCACGGGUGCGUAACGCGUAUCGAACCUGCCGCAUACCCGGGGAUAGCCUUGCGAAAGCAAGAUUAAUACCCGAUGUUCUCACUGUUCCGCAUGUUACGGUGAGCAAAGAAUUUCGGUAUGCGAUGGCGAUGCGUCCCAUUAGCUAGUUGGCGGGGUAACGGCCCACCAAGGCUCCGAUGGGUAGGGGUUCUGAGAGGAAGGUCCCCCACACUGGAACUGAGACACGGUCCAGACUCCUACGGGAGGCAGCAGUGAGGAAUAUUGGUCAAUGGACGCAAGUCUGAACCAGCCAAGUAGCGUGCAGGAUGACGGCCCUCCGGGUUGUAAACUGCUUUUAGUUGGGAAUAAAAGGGGGCUCGUGAGCCCCGUAUUGUAUGUACCAUCAGAAAAAGGACCGGCUAAUUCCGUGCCAGCAGCCGCGGUAAUACGGAAGGUCCGGGCGUUAUCCGGAUUUAUUGGGUUUAAAGGGAGCGUAGGCCGGCUUUUAAGUCAGCUGUGAAAGUCCGCGGCUCAACCGUGGAAUUGCAGUUGAAACUGGAGGCCUUGAGUGCACACAGGGAUGCCGGAAUUCAUGGUGUAGCGGUGAAAUGCUUAGAUAUCGCGCAGAACUCCGAUUGCGAAGGCAGCAUGCCGGCUCCACACUGACGCUGAGGCACGAAAGCGUGGGUAUCGAACAGGAUUAGAUACCCUGGUAGUCCACGCAGUAAACGAUGAAUGCUGGCUGUCCGGGGGGAUUGACCCCUGGGUGGCGAAGCGAAAGCGAUAAGCAUUCCACCUGGGGAGUACGCCGGCAACGGUGAAACUCAAAGGAAUUGACGGGGGCCCGCACAAGCGGAGGAACAUGUGGUUUAAUUCGAUGAUACGCGAGGAACCUUACCCGGGCUCAAACGACACAGGAACGGUCCUGAAAGGGGUCGGCUCUACGGAGCCUGUGUCGAGGUGCUGCAUGGUUGUCGUCAGCUCGUGCCGUGAGGUGUCGGCUUAAGUGCCAUAACGAGCGCAACCCCCAUCGACAGUUGCUAACAGGUUAGGCUGAGGACUCUGUCGAGACUGCCGGCGCAAGCUGCGAGGAAGGCGGGGAUGACGUCAAAUCAGCACGGCCCUUACGUCCGGGGCGACACACGUGUUACAAUGGCAGGUACAGCGGGAAGCCACCUGGCGACAGGGAGCGGAACCCGAAAGCCUGUCUCAGUUCGGAUUGGAGUCUGCAACCCGACUCCAUGAAGCUGGAUUCGCUAGUAAUCGCGCAUCAGCCACGGCGCGGUGAAUACGUUCCCGGGCCUUGCACUCACCGCCCGUCA